CCUACACUAAAAACGCCAGGGUAUUACGAGCCUCAGCUUAAAACCCAAAGGACUUGACGGUGUCCCACCCAACUAGAGGAGCCUGUUCUAUAAUCGAUAACCCCCGAUAUACCUAACCCCAUUUUGCAGAUCAGCCUGUAUACCUCCGUCGCAAGCUUACCAUAUGAAUGCCAACAGUAAGUCCAAUGGUCACACACCAACACGUCAGGUCAAGGUGCAGCUUAUAAUAGGGCAAGCAAUGGGCUACAAUUUCUAAUAUAGAAUAUACGGAAUGCCACCUGAAACACAACAUGAAGGCGGAUUUAGUAGUAAAAA
This 315-nucleotide ribosomal RNA is filed under the name Limnonectes kuhlii (Kuhl's wart frog). Its description in RNAcentral is "partial 12S ribosomal RNA". It matches the Rfam family "Bacterial small subunit ribosomal RNA", at positions 857 to 1344 of the family's 1533-position model. Lineage: Eukaryota; Metazoa; Chordata; Amphibia; Anura; Dicroglossidae. The record is from RNAcentral.